RNAcentral lists this small RNA (702 nucleotides) under Pongo abelii (Sumatran orangutan). RNAcentral describes it as "retained intron". Lineage: Eukaryota; Metazoa; Chordata; Mammalia; Primates; Hominidae. The record is from RNAcentral.
GCAGCCGCCGUGCCCGUGCCCCUCCUCCCUCCUGUGCGCACCUGCCGCUGUCCCUGGGAUCAGGCUUCCAGUUCACCCACUGCACCCGCAUCUGCCCCACUUGGGCCCCCUCCUUGGCCUGAGGGCACCCCAACCCCACCUACCCCACCUGGUGGACACACACCCAAGCCCGAGCCCCCGAUGCCAGAGCCCCCGCACACACUGGCACCCAUGCUGACGCCUGGCUCCCCGCAGCUCCUGUGCCGAGUGCCUGAAGUUUGAAAAGGGCCCCCUUGGGAAGAACUGCAGCGCGGCGUGUCAGCGCCGGCAGCUGUCGAACAACCCCGUGAAGGGCAAGACCUGCAAGGAGAGGGACUCAGAGGGCUGCUGGGUGACCUACACACUGGAGCAGCAGGACGGGAUGGACCGCUACCUCAUCUAUGUGGAUGAAAGCCGAGAGUGUGUGGCAGGCCCCAACAUCGCCGCCAUCGUCGGGGGCACCGUGGCAGGCAUCGUGCUGAUUGGCAUCCUCCUCCUGGCCAUCUGGAAGGCUCUGAUCCACCUGAGUGACCUCCGGGAGUACAGGCGCUUUGAGAAGGAGAAGCUCAAGUCCCAGUGGAACAAUGAUAAUCCCCUUUUCAAGAGCGCCACCACGACGGUCAUGAACCCUAAGUUUGCUGAGAGUUAGGAGCACUUGGUGAAGACAAGGCCGUCAGGACCCAC